AGAUAAAUCUUUUGAGCCUAAUUAGUCAAUAAUUAAAUAAUAUUUAUCAGAUAAAAACGAAAAUACUACAGUACUGAAAUCUAAAAUAUUUUCGGAGCUAAACAUGACCAUUAUCAAAUGACAAACAUUUUGGUCGCACCGUCUGAAGCUUGCGACAGCAUUUCCGGGUCAAAUCUGAGCAUGCAAGUCCAAGAUGUGCAAUCCAGCAUCUAAAAAAAAAGGAAAACAGUGGGUAAAUAAAUCCAUUACAGGCCCCUAAAGCAAGCCAUGUGCACACACCUGUUCGGCACAACUAAAAUCCAAUCGUGGUUUUGUCGUCUUCAUCACUCAAUCGUUCUUAAACAGAAGAGGUAGCAUAUGCAGUACCCUUUUUAAUCUUGUGCUUAGUAACUGUUCCAAAAAAAAUAAUAUUUUGAUCUGGAUAAGUUAACUAUUAGUCUAUUAUUACCAUGGUAUAGGAUGAGGACUGAGGAGGGAUCAUGAGUCACUUUAGCCCUGAGCCAUGUGGUUUUUGAUAGAUGCUGUGCAACAUUCAUCUGCUCACAUUUUUCUUUGACCUGUCAGAGUGUCAGUGUCACUCUUCAAACAACAGUGCUCCUGUAGUCCUGUUUAGGGUAGAAUAGUUUGUCUCUGCUUGUAGUUAUCAAUUAAUGAAGGCAUUAAAUAUAGAAACUUUCAAUAUCUACCUCUGAGUAUCAUCUAUCUACCACAGCUCUUCCUAUGUUAGUUUCUAUGUAGACUUUAGUUUCUCACAUUCUCCAUCAUAAAGAAUAUAUAUGACUUUCAACGAGUCAAAUAGUCCAAAAUCUGAUUAGGU
This 817-nucleotide long non-coding RNA is filed under the name Sorghum bicolor (sorghum). RNAcentral's name for it is "long non-coding RNA (SBIC_LNC004149)". The record is from RNAcentral. Lineage: Eukaryota; Viridiplantae; Streptophyta; Magnoliopsida; Poales; Poaceae.